This 460-nucleotide ribosomal RNA is filed under the name uncultured bacterium. RNAcentral describes it as "partial 16S ribosomal RNA". It matches the Rfam family "Bacterial small subunit ribosomal RNA", at positions 338 to 795 of the family's 1533-position model. The record is from RNAcentral.
CCUACGGGAGGCAGCAGUGAGGAAUAUUGGUCAAUGGGCGCGAGCCUGAACCAGCCAAGUAGCGUGAAGGAUGACUGCACUACGUGUUGUAAACUUCUUUUAUAAGGGAAUAAAGUGAGGCACGUGUGCCUGUUUGUAUGUACUUUAUGAAUAAGGAUCGGCUAACUCCGUGCCAGCAGCCGCGGUAAUACGGAGGAUCCGAGCGUUAUCCGGAUUUAUUGGGUUUAAAGGGAGCGUAGAUGGGUUGGUAAGUCAGUUGUGAAAGUUUGAGGCUCAACCAUAAAAUUGCAAUUGAUACUGGCAGUCUUGAGUAGAGUUGAGGUAGGCGGAAUUCGUGGUGUAGCGGUGAAAUGCUUAGAUAUCACGAAGAACUCCGAUUGCGAAGGCAGCUUACCAAACUGCCACUGACAUUGAUGCUCGAAAGUGUGGGUAUCAAACAGGAUUAGAUACCCCUGUGGUC